UCCGGCUUAACGCCGGCAGUCCCCCCAGAGUCCCCGCCUUGACGCGCUGGCAACUGGGAGCGGGGGUUGCGCUCGUUGCGGGACUUAACCCAACAUUUCUACGACAUUCCCGUGCAUGUCAAGCCUUGGUAAGGUUCUUCGCGUCGCGUCGAAUUAAACAACAUGCUCCGCUGCUUGUGCGGGUCCCCGUCAAUUCCUUUGAGUUUUAGCCUUGCGGCCGUACUCCCCAGGCGGGGUGCUUAAUGCGUUAGCUUCGGCACGGAGGGAAUCGACACCCCCCACACCUAGCACCCAUCGUUUACGGCGUGGACUAC
This 314-nucleotide unclassified non-coding RNA is filed under the name uncultured Gaiellales bacterium. RNAcentral's name for it is "contains 16S-23S intergenic spacer region". Lineage: Bacteria; Bacillati; Actinomycetota; Thermoleophilia; Gaiellales. The record is from RNAcentral.